Molecule: ribosomal RNA, 440 nt
Filed under: uncultured bacterium
Lineage: Bacteria
Description: partial 16S ribosomal RNA
Rfam family: Bacterial small subunit ribosomal RNA
Source: RNAcentral
CUACGGGACGCAGCAGUAGGGAAUCUUGCGCAAUGGGCGAAAGCCUGACGCAGCAACGCCGCGUGGGGGAUGAAGGCCCUCGGGUUGUAAACCCCUGUCAGCAGGGACGAAACUGACGGUACCUGCAGAAGAAGCCCCGGCCAACUACGUGCCAGCAGCCGCGGUAAUACGUAGGGGGCAAGCGUUGUCCGGAUUUAUUGGGCGUAAAGAGCUCGUAGGCGGUUCGGUAAGUCGGGUGUGAAAAUCCAGGGCUCAACCCUGGGACGCCACCUGAUACUGCUGUGACUAGAGUCCGGUAGAGGAGCGUGGAAUUCCUGGUGUAGCGGUGAAAUGCGCAGAUAUCAGGAGGAACACCAGCGGCGAAGGCGGCGCUCUGGGCCGGUACUGACGCUGAGGAGCGAAAGCGUGGGGAGCAAACAGGAUUAGAUACCCCCGUAGUC